AAAACUUUUAACAACGGAUCUCUUGGUUCUGGCAUCGAUGAAGAACGCAGCGAAAUGCGAUAAGUAAUGUGAAUUGCAGAAUUCAGUGAAUCAUCGAAUCUUUGAACGCACAUUGCGCCCCCUGGUAUUCCGGGGGGCAUGCCUGUUCGAGCGUCAUUUC
RNAcentral lists this ribosomal RNA (160 nucleotides) under Cladosporium cladosporioides. Its description in RNAcentral is "5.8S ribosomal RNA". It matches the Rfam family "5.8S ribosomal RNA". Rfam says of the family: 5.8S ribosomal RNA (5.8S rRNA) is a component of the large subunit of the eukaryotic ribosome. The record is from RNAcentral. Lineage: Eukaryota; Fungi; Ascomycota; Dothideomycetes; Cladosporiales; Cladosporiaceae. RNAcentral also lists the same sequence under 7 other names.